This 96-nucleotide non-coding RNA is filed under the name Chlorocebus sabaeus (green monkey). The record is from RNAcentral. Lineage: Eukaryota; Metazoa; Chordata; Mammalia; Primates; Cercopithecidae.
GCCUGGUCUGAAUGGCAGUGGAUGUCAGAACUAAUUAACCUUAGUAUCAUUGUAGUUGGCAUUCAACCCCACACUGCUAAAUUUGACUGCCCUUUU